AUGGCGGCCGCCGCCAAGUGGAGCGAGACGACCAUGCUCGUCAUCGACAUGCAGAAGGAUUUCGUAGACCCGGAGAUGCGCAGCCCACUGCUGGUCACUGGCGGCGAGGCCGUAAUCCCCGCCGUCGUUGAGGCCGUCGCCGUGGCGCGGAAGGGAGGAAUCUUUCUUGUUUGGGUUGUCAGAGAGCAUGACCCUUCUGGAAGGGAUGUCGAACUUUUUUGCAGACACUUGUACUCUGGAGGAAAGGGUCCAACAGUGAAAGGCUUGAAAGGUGCAGAGCUGGCUGGCGGGCUUUUUAUCAAAGAGGGCGACUAUAAGUUGGUGAAGACGAGAUUUAGUGCUUUUUUUGCGACACACCUUGAUUCUCUUCUUAAAACACUAGGAAUGAAGAACUUGGUAAUUGUUGGUGUUCAAACACCAAAUUUCAUCUGA
Molecule: ribosomal RNA, 432 nt
Filed under: Triticum aestivum (bread wheat)
Lineage: Eukaryota; Viridiplantae; Streptophyta; Magnoliopsida; Poales; Poaceae
Description: partial small subunit ribosomal RNA
Source: RNAcentral